CAGCCGCCACGGUAACACGUAGGGUGCGAGCGUUAAUCGGAAUUACUGGGCGUAAAGCGUGCGCAGGCGGUUAUGUAAGACAGUUGUGAAAUCCCCGGGCUCAACCUGGGAACUGCAUCUGUGACUGCAUAGCUAGAGUACGGUAGAGGGGGAUGGAAUUCCGCGUGUAGCAGUGAAAUGCGUAGAUAUGCGGAGGAACACCGAUGGCGAAGGCAAUCCCAUGGACCUGUACUGACGCUCAUGCACGAAAGCGUGGGGAGCAAACAGAAUUAGAUACCCGUGUAGUCCCUGUCUCUUAUAC
Molecule: ribosomal RNA, 301 nt
Filed under: uncultured bacterium
Lineage: Bacteria
Description: partial 16S ribosomal RNA
Rfam family: Bacterial small subunit ribosomal RNA
Source: RNAcentral